Molecule: long non-coding RNA, 1979 nt
Filed under: Equus caballus (horse)
Lineage: Eukaryota; Metazoa; Chordata; Mammalia; Perissodactyla; Equidae
Description: lncRNA (ENSECAG00000047515.1)
Source: RNAcentral
CUCAGAGUCAGACUGCCUCCCUCGUUCUCAAAAUUCUUCCAGCUCCCAGUGACUCACUGAAGAGUGUGGGCGCUCUGCUGCCUUUACUGAGCACCUGGGCUGGCUGGAGGUCUGGGAUUGCCUGGCUUCACAUCCCACAUGCCAGAGCUGUCUGCACCAUGUUGCUCCUCUACUUCUGGACACAGAAUCUUGUUUCCUGAGUGGCGUCAGAGGAUGAAUAAACCAGCACUUAUGGGUUAGCUCUCCAUGGAGUGGAAUUUGAGCAAUAAGAAACAGGAGGGAGAAAGCCCAGGGCAAGAAGGCCACUGAUGUAGCCCACCCAGGCCAGCCUACUGAGACAGAGCAGAUGGAGAAGGAGAAGGGCAGAGAGUUGAUAUGAAUCAGGAUAUACUAUACGGGAUAUAGAUUUUCAAAAGGGCAUUUGGAGUCCAGCGUCUCCAUGUGGACUUCACCCAGUAACAAAAUAUCUUAUCAAUUUGAAGAUGAACGUUUUUCACGUUUUAACACCUCUGAAGUUGACAGAAUCUUACGGUUGCUGUUCUCCAGGUGGCAGCCAGGACGUAGCUGCUGUUGCCUGCCCUUGCACAAACCUAGAUGUUAGUCCUCAUUCAGGUUGUCUUUAAAUGAUUCGUUGACUGUGUAUGGAGGAGAGUUACAGUUGUCCGAUGUGCCUUUGGUGGACCUUUUGUGGACAUCCUUCAGUAAGAACAAUAAAGUGCCAGCAUCAAAACUUAUAGAAUGAGCAUCAGCACCUUGGAAGCAAAUCCCAGAGACAAUAUUGCAGCAGUCUUAAGAAUAUUACCAAAGCUCCUGAUAGCCCAGCUGACAAAGCAUGAAAAAUACUCUGAUCUCAACUCUCCGUUGAAAGUGAUUCAGAGGACCUGGGAAUGUUUCUAUAGGAAACAUUUUAAUGAUACCUCAACGAAUUUUUAAAAAUUUAAGUCAGAUUUAUUGAGGUAUAAUUUACAUACAGUAAAACUAACCCUUUUUAGAUAUACAGUUCUGUGAAUUGGUAAAAAUAUAUAUAAUGUUGUGUAUCCACCACCGAAAUCAAGAGAGUACAUUUUGAGUUUCCUCAUGCUUCUUUGUAGUUGAUCCCCAACCCAUACUCCCAGCCCUCAGGAACCACUGAUCUUUCUUUCUCUGCUGUUUCGGCUUUCCUGUAAUGUUGUGUAGCAUUUUGAUUCUGGUUUAUUUCACUUAGCAUAAUGUUCUUGCAUUUAUCAGUAGUUCCUUCCUUUUUACUGUUCAGUAGUAUUCCAUGGUGUGAUUAUACCAUAAUGUUUAUGCAUUCACAAUAGAACAUCUGGAUUGCUUCUAGUUUAUGGCAAUUACGGAUAAAGCUAUAAAAGUGCAGGGUUUUGUAUGGAUAUACAGUUCCACUUCUCAUGGGGAAACACUCAGGCGUAGGAUUGCUGGGUCAUAUGGUAAUUGUAUAUUUAACUUUAUAACACACUGCUGAACUGCUUUUCACAGUGUCUGCAGGGUUUGACAUUCCCACGCACCAUGAAAACUUGGAGCUACUCUGCAACCUCACCAGCGCUUGGCGUGAUCAGCUUUUUAAAAUUAUAGUCAUUGUAUCCAUUAUUAGUCAUAGCUCACCGUGGUGUCAAUGUGCAUUUCCUUAAUGAUGCGCAUCUUCUCAUGGGCUUAUUUCCUAUCUAUAUAUCUCCUUUGAUGAAAUGUCUGUUCAAAUCAUUUGUAAUUUGAUUAUGUUCUUCUUACGGAGCUAUGAAUCCUUUAUGUAUUCUAGGUGUCCUUUAUCAGAUAUGUGUUUUGUAAAUAUUAUCUCAGUCUGUGGACUGUCUUUUCAUUUUCUUGACAGUGUGUUUCAAAGAGCAGAUAUUUAAUUUUAAGAAGUCCAAUUUGUCAAUUUUUUUUUCCUUUAUGGCUCAUGCUUUCUGUGUUCUAGCUAAGAAAUCUUUGCCACAUCCAAGUUCACAAAGAUUUUCUCCUUUUUUCCUGUAGAAGUUUUAUGG